UGGGGAAUUUUUCGCAAUGGGCGAGAGCCUGACGGAGCAACGCCGCGUGAGGGAGGACGGCCUGUGGGUUGUAAACCUCUUUUCUCAGGGAAGAAGAACUGACGGUACCUGAGGAAUCAGCAUCGGCUAACUCCGUGCCAGCAGCCGCGGUAAGACGGAGGAUGCAAGCGUUAUCCGGAAUCAUUGGGCGUAAAGCGUCCGCAGGUGGUUAAUCAAGUCUGCUGUCAAAGACAGAAGCUCAACUUCUGAGAGGCAGUGGAAACUGGUAAACUAGAGUACGGUAGGGGUUGAGGGAAUUCCCAGUGUAGCGGUGAAAUGCGUAGAUAUUGGGAAGAACACCAGUGGCGAAGGCGCUCAACUGGGCCGUAACUGACACUCAGGGACGAAAGCUAGGGUAGCGAAAGGGAUUAGAUACCCCCGUAGUCC
Molecule: ribosomal RNA, 426 nt
Filed under: uncultured prokaryote
Description: bacterial SSU rRNA
Rfam family: Bacterial small subunit ribosomal RNA
Source: RNAcentral